UAACCCUAGCUGGGGAAGGUGACCGCA
Molecule: non-coding RNA, 27 nt
Filed under: Homo sapiens (human)
Lineage: Eukaryota; Metazoa; Chordata; Mammalia; Primates; Hominidae
Source: RNAcentral